Molecule: ribosomal RNA, 253 nt
Filed under: uncultured bacterium
Lineage: Bacteria
Description: partial 16S ribosomal RNA
Rfam family: Bacterial small subunit ribosomal RNA
Source: RNAcentral
GACGGAGGGUGCUAGCGUUGUUCGGAAUCACUGGGCGUAAAGGGCGCGUAGGCGGCUGUGGCAGUCGGGUGUGAAAGCCCGGAGCUCAACUCCGGAACUGCACUCGAGACGCCACGGCUGGAGGCCGGAAGAGGAGAGUGGAAUACCCAGUGUAGAGGUGAAAGUCGUAGAUAUUGGGAAGAACACCAGUGGCGAAGGCGGCUCUCUGGUCCGAUACUGACGCUGAGGUGCGAAAGCGUGGGGAGCAAACAGG